RNAcentral lists this ribosomal RNA (447 nucleotides) under uncultured bacterium. RNAcentral's name for it is "bacterial SSU rRNA". It matches the Rfam family "Bacterial small subunit ribosomal RNA", at positions 355 to 825 of the family's 1533-position model. The record is from RNAcentral.
UCGGGAAUUUUGGGCAAUGGGCGAAAGCCUGACCCAGCAACGCCGCGUGAAGGAUGAAGUAUUUCGGUAUGUAAACUUCGAAAGAAUAGGAAGAAUAAAUGACGGUACUAUUUAUAAGGUCCGGCUAACUACGUGCCAGCAGCCGCGGUAAUACGUAGGGACCAAGCGUUGUUCGGAUUUACUGGGCGUAAAGGGCGCGUAGGCGGCAAUUCAAGUCAUCUGUGAAAUCUCCGGGCUUAACUCGGAACGGUCAGAUGAUACUGCUUUGCUAGAGUGCAGAAGGGGCAAUCGGAAUUCUUGGUGUAGCGGUGAAAUGCGUAGAUAUCAAGAGGAACACCUGAGGUGAAGACGGGUUGCUGGGCUGACACCGACGCUGAGGCGCGAAAGCCAGGGGAGCAAACGGGAUUAGAUACCCACGUAGUCCCUGAGCGGGCUGGCAAGGCGCAU